RNAcentral lists this long non-coding RNA (423 nucleotides) under Linum usitatissimum (flax). Its description in RNAcentral is "long non-coding RNA (LUSI_LNC002847)". The record is from RNAcentral. Lineage: Eukaryota; Viridiplantae; Streptophyta; Magnoliopsida; Malpighiales; Linaceae.
GGCAGGAUUGCUUGUGGCCGUAAGUACCAGAAGGAACACAGAGGCACUUAGCACAGCAUUUUUGGCAGAAGAACAAGCAUGGCUUCUUGUAUUGUGUCUUUGAGCAUCUCACCCCGCACCUCCCUCCACAUUCCGCAUGCAAAUUCUAUUUAUUAAUUGCAUUUCUUUCCACCAAUUAUAUCUUAAUUAACUAGUUAAUUAGAAGUCUUUUAUAUAUACCCUGAGGGUGAAGGCUUCCUUCAGUUGUUCCAGUCUUGAAAUCAAAUUAAACUCAAUAGUACUAGAUCGACAGCCAAAAUCCAAGCAACUAUAAAGAAAGAUUUGGUUCAGUUACAAGGGGAGACUUACAGAAGGGAGGGUGUUAGUACUGUUACUGCCAUUGUUAGGUUGAGGUUGGGGUGCUGGAGACUCGAAGAUAGCUGC